RNAcentral lists this transfer RNA (77 nucleotides) under Clostridiales bacterium. RNAcentral's name for it is "tRNA-Val". It matches the Rfam family "tRNA". From Rfam's summary of the family: Transfer RNA (tRNA) molecules are approximately 80 nucleotides in length. Their secondary structure includes four short double-helical elements and three loops (D, anti-codon, and T loops). The record is from RNAcentral. Lineage: Bacteria; Bacillati; Bacillota; Clostridia; Eubacteriales.
GGAGGCAUAGCUCAGCCGGUUAGAGCGCAUGCUUCACACGCAUGAGGUCACAGGUUCGAGUCCUGUUGUCUCCACCA